UCAUUAGCGGUGCAUAUAAAUAUAGGAGACAUGAGCUCAUAUAUCUAGUGCUCUAAAGAAAAACAAAGAUUUCACAACAAACUUAAAAAUGGCACACGUUAUUUCCGAUCCCACGUCGUUGAUUUAUAUAGGACUCUUGUCUCUACUCAUAGAGUCUCUAUUGACUCAUUACAAAUUGAGAAAUUGGGGAUCUGACUCGUAUUCAGGUCAUUAUACUCUAACUAGAUGGCUUCGAGCUAUUUGUGGCUGUCUGACUUUAUAUGCUCUCUGGGUGAAUCGGCACAUUUCUUGGAUUUCUUCCACUAAGGUUUUAGCGUUGGCUGUCUUGUUCUGUCUUGGAAUUAUUAUUCAACCGAAAUUCAAAUUCUUGUUUGAAUUGAACACACACCGACAUACUUUUUGGAAUGGAUAUUUCAGUUUAUUUUCAAUUUUUUCGAGUUUAAUAUUUGCAACAUUUUCUCCAUAUGCUUAUCUUAUCAUCUUGUAUCGGAUAGCGAUUUUUGCUCACAUAAUUUAACAAAAUGUGUAUAUAUUUAACUUUUUAUAAAAUAAAAAAAAAUUGUAUUUUUUAAUUUGUUUUAUAAAUAUUACAUUAAAUUAAAGAUGACCAGCUCGAAUGGUCACUUCUCAGAGUCUAA
Molecule: long non-coding RNA, 638 nt
Organism: Drosophila willistoni
Lineage: Eukaryota; Metazoa; Arthropoda; Insecta; Diptera; Drosophilidae
Exons: 3
Source: RefSeq, a predicted model, not a curated record